Molecule: ribosomal RNA, 253 nt
Filed under: uncultured bacterium
Lineage: Bacteria
Description: partial 16S ribosomal RNA
Rfam family: Bacterial small subunit ribosomal RNA
Source: RNAcentral
UACGUAGGGUGCGAGCGUUGCCCGGAUUUAUUGGGCGUAAAGGGCGCGUAGGCGGCCACGCACGUCCGUUGUGAAAUCGCCCGGCUCAACUGGGCGGGGUCAGCGGAUACGGUGUGGCUCGAGCAAGCUAGGGGGCAAUGGAAUUCCCGGUGUAGUGGUGGAAUGCGUAGAUAUCGGGAGGAACACCGGUGGCGAAGGCGGAUCUCUGGGCCGUACCUGACGCUGAGGCGCGAAAGCGUGGGGAGCGAACAGG